GGGUUGUGAGGUUAAGCGACUAAGCGUACACGGUGGAUGCCCUGGCAGUCAGAGGCGAUGAAGGGCGUGCUAAUCUGCGAUAAGCGCCGGUAAGGUGAUAUGAACCGUUAUAACCGGCGAUACCCGAAUGGGGAAACCCAGUGUGAUUCGUCACACUAUCAUUAACUGAAUCCAUAGGUUAAUGAGGCGAACCGGGGGAACUGA
RNAcentral lists this ribosomal RNA (204 nucleotides) under Salmonella enterica subsp. enterica serovar Oranienburg. Its description in RNAcentral is "partial 23S ribosomal RNA". It matches the Rfam family "Bacterial large subunit ribosomal RNA", at positions 1 to 196 of the family's 2925-position model. RNAcentral also lists the same sequence under 1 other name. The record is from RNAcentral. Lineage: Bacteria; Pseudomonadati; Pseudomonadota; Gammaproteobacteria; Enterobacterales; Enterobacteriaceae.